UACGUAGGGUGCAAGCGUUGUCCGGAAUUAUUGGGCGUAAAGAGCUCGUAGGCGGUUUGUCGCGUCUGCCGUGAAAGUCCGGGGCUCAACUCCGGAUCUGCGGUGGGUACGGGCAGACUAGAGUGAUGUAGGGGAGACUGGAAUUCCUGGUGUAGCGGUGAAAAUGCGCAGAUAUCAGGAGGAACACCGAUGGCGAAGGCAGGUCUCUGGGCAUUAACUGACGCUGAGGAGCGAAAGCAUGGGGAGCGAACAGG
Molecule: ribosomal RNA, 254 nt
Filed under: uncultured bacterium
Lineage: Bacteria
Description: partial 16S ribosomal RNA
Rfam family: Bacterial small subunit ribosomal RNA
Source: RNAcentral